RNAcentral lists this transfer RNA (71 nucleotides) under Caenorhabditis brenneri. Its description in RNAcentral is "tRNA CBN26977". It matches the Rfam family "tRNA". From Rfam's summary of the family: Transfer RNA (tRNA) molecules are approximately 80 nucleotides in length. The record is from Rfam by way of RNAcentral. Lineage: Eukaryota; Metazoa; Nematoda; Chromadorea; Rhabditida; Rhabditidae.
GCUCGCGUGGCCUAAUGGAUAAGGCACCGGACUCCGGAACCGGGCAUGGAGGUUCAAAUCCUCCGUGGGCU